This 291-nucleotide unclassified non-coding RNA is filed under the name uncultured fungus. RNAcentral's name for it is "partial contains 5.8S ribosomal RNA, internal transcribed spacer 2, and large subunit ribosomal RNA". The stretch from base 1 to 52 matches the Rfam family "5.8S ribosomal RNA", at positions 103 to 154 of the family's 154-position model. Lineage: Eukaryota; Fungi. The record is from RNAcentral.
AACGCACAUUGCGCCCCCUGGUAUUCCGGGGGGCAUGCCUGUUCGAGCGUCACAAAAAAGUCUCAGGCGAAAGCUUGAUGUUGGGCGUCCAGGGCCGCUGAAGUUGUACCUUUACGGGAUUUCUUAGCGGCCCCGCCCCAAAUACAUCGGCAGCGGCGCGUAGCCCCGAGCGUACCCAGGCUUCCUAGUCUUCGCUCUGUGGGCAAUCGCCAACCGUACUUGCCCCGCAACGACCCCCUUUAGCCAUACAAAAUUGACCUCGGAUCAGGUAGGGAUACCCGCUGAACUUAA